Molecule: ribosomal RNA, 254 nt
Filed under: uncultured bacterium
Lineage: Bacteria
Description: partial 16S ribosomal RNA
Rfam family: Bacterial small subunit ribosomal RNA
Source: RNAcentral
UACGGGGGGGGCGAGCGUUGUUCGGAAUCACUGGGCGUAAAGGGCGCGUAGGCGGCCCGCACAAGUCUGCGGUGAAAACCCCCGGCUUAACCGGGGGCCGGCCGUGGAAACUGUCGGGCUGGAGGCUGGGAGAGGGCAGCGGAAUUCCCGGUGUAGCGGUGAAAUGCGUAGAGAUCGGGAGGAACACCGGCGGCGAAGGCGGCUGCCUGGACCAGUCCUGACGCUGAGGCGCGAAGGCUAGGGGAGCGAACGGG